CUAAAAUUUAGUCAUACUAAAAUUGGAUCGAUACAGAGAAGAUUAGCAUGGCUCCUGUGAAAGGAUGACACGCAAGUCCAUGAAGCGCUACAUCUUUUG
This 99-nucleotide small nuclear RNA is filed under the name Carassius auratus (goldfish). Lineage: Eukaryota; Metazoa; Chordata; Actinopteri; Cypriniformes; Cyprinidae. The record is from RNAcentral.